This 546-nucleotide ribosomal RNA is filed under the name uncultured bacterium. RNAcentral describes it as "bacterial SSU rRNA". It matches the Rfam family "Bacterial small subunit ribosomal RNA", at positions 224 to 783 of the family's 1533-position model. The record is from RNAcentral.
GAGCGGCCCGCGGAGUAUCAGCUAGUUGGUAAGGUAAUGGCUUACCAAGGCUAUGACGCUUAGGAGAGCUGAGAGGCUCUACUCCACCGAUGGAACUGAGACACGGUCCAUACACCUACGGGUGGCUGCAGUCGAGAAUCUUCCGCAAUGGGCGAAAGCCUGACGGAGCGACGCCGCGUGACUGAUGAAGUCCUUAGGGACGUAAAGGUCUUUUGUGGGGGAGAAAUUUAGAUGAUAGUACCCCAAGAAUAAGAGGCUCCAAACUCUGUGCCAGCAGGAGCGGUAAUACAGAGGCCUCAAGCGUUAUCCGGAAUCACUGGGCGUAAAGGGUGUGUAGGUGGUUGUGUUAGUCGAUUGUUAAAUCCCGCGGCCUAACCGCGGAAAUGCAAUCGAAACGGCACGACUCGAGGGUGCGAGGGGUCUGUGGAACUCAUGGAGUAGGGGUGAAAUCCGUUGAUAUCAUGGGGAACACCAAAAGCGAAGGCAGCAGACUGGCGCAUUCCUGACACUGAAACACGAAAGCGUAGGUAGCGAAUGGGAUUAGAU